GUUGAACGCUAGCGGGAUGCCUUACACAUGCAAGUCGAACGGAGUGGCGAACGGGUGAGUAAUGUAUCGGAACGUGCCCAGUCGCGGGGGAUAACUACGCGACAGCGUAGCUAAUACCGCAUACUAUUGGCGCGGCCGAUAUCGGGUUGGCUAGUUGGUGGGGUAACGGCUCACCACGGCGACGAUCCGUAGCUGGUUGGAGAGGACGACCAGGCCCCCUGUGACGGAGACACGGCCCAGUCCCCUACGGGAGGCAGCAGUGGGGAAUGGUGGACAAGGGGGGGAACCCUGAUCCAGCCAUCCCGCGUGUGCGAUGAAGGCCUGCGGGUUGUAAAGCAAUUGCAGCGGGGAGGCGUUACCCGCAGAAGAAGCACCGGCUAACUCCGUGCCAGCAGCCGCGGUAAUAC
Molecule: ribosomal RNA, 407 nt
Filed under: uncultured bacterium
Lineage: Bacteria
Description: partial 16S ribosomal RNA
Rfam family: Bacterial small subunit ribosomal RNA
Source: RNAcentral